Non-coding RNA from Aegilops tauschii subsp. strangulata, 2427 nucleotides. NCBI's taxonomy places the organism in Eukaryota, Viridiplantae, Streptophyta, Magnoliopsida, Poales, Poaceae. The record is from RefSeq and is a predicted model, not a curated record.
GGCCACUCCUCCGCCCCCCUCUCCUCCCCCGCUACCUGCUCUGCUAUUCGGUAUGCUACUUCAUUGUGCUUGUACUGUAUGUGGUAAAAUUUCUGGUGAUUCCUUCCCGGGACAUUGGUUAGUUGUGUGAAGCUGAGAGGUUUGGGAUGAAAUGACCCCAAAAUUCUCAACCGGAUCGAGUUGGUGAGUUCUAUUUGAGUUUACUUUUGAUUGUUAUACGCUGCAUAGCUGCGUGCCAUCCACGUGGGAAGGUAAUUGUUUUGAUCCACUUUAGUUUGAGGCUAGGAGGUUUGGGUGAAAUGAUCUGUCGAAUUCGGAACUGGAUCAAGCAGCAAUAAUUGGUUGUUUCAUCAGGAUCGGACUGUCUAAUUCUGCUACUGUGUGCUAUGCUUGUUGAGGUUGUAUGCUUCAGGUGUAGAAUAUCCUACCCACUUCUGCACUUGAGUCGCCGGAGAACCAUGCACUACUAAGCAAUGCAGUAGAAUGGCACACUGAAGCAUACACUACUUUAUUGUACACUUAUGCUAGUUGUUACUGAAAUUUGCCCUGUCAAUUCCUUACUGAAAUUUCCUCCUGUUGAAUUCUUAAUGAAAUUGUAAGCUUUGUUACUGAAUUACAGAAGUAUCAUUGCUUGUUCAAGAACAAAUGUUUGACUGUAUCUCCAAUUCACUCAAUCGUUCUUUGUGAUUACAGUUUUGACUGUAUCUCCAGCAUUGACAAAUACCAUUGCUUGUUCAAAUUUAUACUGGAGUUGCUUGUUCAACACUGAUAAAAUAUCAUUGCUUGUUUAAGGACUCCACUAUACUGAACAAAUGUAUUAAUCCAGUAUAAAUCUCCAAGGAUUAUGUGCAAGCAAUUUCUAGGAUCAGUAUUCAGUUUAGAUGCAGAUCCAGUCAACAUUAGGGAUCAAUAUUCAGUUAACACUAGGAUCAAUACUCAGUGUAACAAUAUUCAGUUAACAGUAUUCUUCUUCCAGGCCAUCGGGGGAGCUCUGGUGGCAGCAUAAGGAGCAGAGCAGCAGCACUGGCACGGGCUUAUAUAUUGUUGGCUUGUAGCAUAAAUUGUUGGCACGACAGCAUAAAUCGUUCAGCGUCUUGACGCACUAAUGCAAUCGUACUGACAAUUGGUCGCGGCGACCACCAAGAAGACACCCAACUCCCGCACCCCGAACUACCCUACCCGAGCCUGCCGUCGCAGCUGCUGUGUCAAGUCCACAGCAUCACCAUGCAUGCUGACAAGGACAAUGAUGAGGUCUACGCACAGAUGACUCUGCAACCAAUAAACUCUAAGUACUGUUGGAAACUGAGCUUGGUGAAGAUAUUCAGAACAUGCUGAACUGCGUUUUCUCUACGUGUGCUUUUAUCGGUUUGCAUGCUGCAUGUUUGAUGUUUGGCCUGAGCUGGGGACGAAAUGGUACUGAAUGCCUAAAAGUGAAGUUAACAGUGUUCAGUUUAAGUGUACAUUUCGAGAUCAGUGCCAGUGUUUAUAAACGCUCAAAAUCUGUACAGUAUUUCUUAGAUUAACAAGUGCUUACUGUAUAAUUUAGGAAAGUUUUAAUAAUACUACAGCAGAUGCUAAUUAAAUCAGGAAGUGAAGCACUACCAAACGUACCGUAUACAAUGUUCAGUUCAAGUUUAAUUUUCAGUUUAGUGCCAGAGUUUAUCAUCAACCCAAAAAAAAUAUCUGAUUUUCACAUUGACGAGUACUACUGCUUACUUCUCCCAUUCCUUACUUGAAGACUCUGUUUUGAACCGAGCCUUGCAGCAAGGAGGGAAUGGCUGCGUCUGUUUUGUGCUUGGACGCCUUCUCCUAGUUGUGCUAAAAUUGAGGUGCCUGUUUAAUUAACAAGCACCUUUCAUCCCCACUGUGACAGUAAUGCAUUGAGGUGCCUCUGGACUUUAGUGUAUUAGGUUGCCAGGAGUAGUAAAACUUAGUGUUGUAUUGAGGAUUGAGGGUGGCUGGGCUUAUAAGUUAAUCAUCAGCGUGAAUGCUUUGUUUGUCUGAUCCUCACAAGUUAAUGCUUCGCUCGUCUGGGUGUGUGAUAAUGCCAUUUGUCUUGUGCAAUCAGAUUAAAUUUCUGUUUGUUAUGGUAAUAUAAAAAAUAUUCGUGCUGUCAAAAUUUUCACAGUGCGUGCCUUUCAUUUCUUUAGUUUGAUUGUUUCCCUUGUAUUCAAUAUGCUUUUAGUGGCUGAUCCUUCCAUUUUUGUUGUGGCAUCUUUAUUUUCACAGGUGUUGUGUGUUCUAGAAGAUGGAAGAGGAAGAAAAUCUAUUUUUGUUGAACUAAAUUUUCUGUAUUAUGAUUUGUUGUAUGUAUUAUUUGAUAGUUUUGUAUAGGAACAAGUGAUACUAUUUUGUAGGGUUUUAUGGCCUGUGAUGUAAACAUAUUUAGUGCUGAAAUAUGAAAUUAUUUGCAAAAUUUGUCGAAAA